AGCUGCUAAUCCAAUCUUCUCUCCUAGUAGAGCUCCAAUAAUUUGAUUGUGUUGUGUAGGGCACUCUGGAGCACCUGAGGGAUGAGAAUGAAAUACUGUAGAUGAGCAGAGAAACUGCUGAAAUGCCUUCCUGCAUCAGUGCUCCGAGUACGUCAUGAGAUUGCUGCUGCUCACCCUCAGACCCAGGACUUUUCCAGCCAUCCCAAGCCAUUGAGGGGAGCACAGGGAGCUCAGCAGGACCAUGUCCCUCCUUUGGGGCUGUCCCCACCGCCAGGACUGUGCCACUGCCUGGGCCAGCAAUGUCCCCAGUGGGGUCACACCUGGCCACACACCUUCCUGCAGAUCCUGGCAGGUUUGCUCUGAAUUCCUAAACACUUCAUCCUGGGCUUUACAGUCCUGUUUGUCUUCACUGUUCUACAAAGAGACAGGAGAAAUCCUCUGCUGCUUCAGAUAAAUAAUGCCCAUGGUGGAAGAAGUUUUCUUGCCAUGAAACUUUGAAGGAGAUGGCAACAUUUCAAAGGACAGCCAGAAGGUUUUAAAGGCAAUGAUGUUGAAAGAACAUGGAGUAUGACUAAGAGGAGGGUGAAUUAAAAAAAAAACCC
Haemorhous mexicanus (house finch) is the source of this 602-nucleotide long non-coding RNA. RefSeq lists it as uncharacterized. NCBI's taxonomy places the organism in Eukaryota, Metazoa, Chordata, Aves, Passeriformes, Fringillidae. The record is from RefSeq and is a predicted model, not a curated record. The transcript has 3 exons.